Molecule: ribosomal RNA, 608 nt
Filed under: uncultured Bacteroidota bacterium
Lineage: Bacteria; Pseudomonadati; Bacteroidota
Description: bacterial SSU rRNA
Rfam family: Bacterial small subunit ribosomal RNA
Source: RNAcentral
GUCGAGGGGCAGCAUUUUAGUUUGCUUGCAAACUGAAGAUGGCGACCGGCGCACGGGUGAGUAACACGUAUCCAACCUGCCGAUAACUCCGGAAUAGCCUUUCGAAAGAAAGAUUAAUACCGGAUAGCAUACGAAUAUCGCAUGAUAUUUUUAUUAAAGAAUUUCGGUUAUCGAUGGGGAUGCGUUCCAUUAGUUUGUUGGCGGGGUAACGGCCCACCAAGACCACGAUGGAUAGGGGUUCUGAGAGGAAGGUCCCCCACAUUGGAACUGAGACACGGUCCAAACUCCUACGGGAGGCAGCAGUGAGGAAUAUUGGUCAAUGGGCGAGAGCCUGAACCAGCCAAGUAGCGUGAAGGAUGAAGGCUCUAUGGGUCGUAAACUUCUUUUAUAUGGGAAUAAAGUUUUCCACGUGUGGAAUUUUGUAUGUACCAUAUGAAUAAGGAUCGGCUAACUCCGUGCCAGCAGCCGCGGUAAUACGGAGGAUCCGAGCGUUAUCCGGAUUUAUUGGGUUUAAAGGGAGCGUAGGUGGAUUGUUAAGUCAGUUGUGAAAGUUUGCGGCUCAACCGUAAAAUUGCAGUUGAAACUGGCAGUCUUGAGUACAGUAGAGG